RNAcentral lists this ribosomal RNA (446 nucleotides) under uncultured bacterium. RNAcentral's name for it is "partial 16S ribosomal RNA". It matches the Rfam family "Bacterial small subunit ribosomal RNA", at positions 338 to 795 of the family's 1533-position model. The record is from RNAcentral.
CCUACGGGGGGCAGCAGUCGAGAAUCAUUCACAAUGGGGGAAACCCUGAUGGUGCGACGCCGCGUGGGGGAAUGAAGGUCUUCGGAUUGUAAAUCCCUGUCAUGUGGGAGCAAAUUAAAAAGAUAGUACCACAAGAGGAAGCGACGGCUAACUCUGUGCCAGCAGCCGCGGUAAUACAGAGGUCUCAAGCGUUGUUCGGAAUCACUGGGCGUAAAGCGUGCGUAGGCUGUUUCGUAAGUCGUGUGUGAAAGGCGCGGGCUCAACCCGCGGACGGCACAUGAUACUGGGAGACUAGAGUAAGGGAGGGGGAGCCGGAAUUCUCGGUGUAGCAGUGAAAUGCGUAGAUAUCGAGAGGAACACUCGUGGCGAAGGCGGGUUCCUGGACAUUAACUGACGCUGAGGCACGAAGGCCAGGGGAGCGAAAGGGAUUAGAUACCCCUGUAGUC